This 433-nucleotide ribosomal RNA is filed under the name uncultured bacterium. Its description in RNAcentral is "partial 16S ribosomal RNA". It matches the Rfam family "Bacterial small subunit ribosomal RNA", at positions 29 to 507 of the family's 1533-position model. The record is from RNAcentral.
AACGAACGCUGGCGGCAUGCCUAACACAUGCAAGUCGAACGAGACCUUCGGGUCUAGUGGCGCACGGGUGCGUAACGCGUGGGAAUCUGCCCUUGGGUUCGGAAUAACAGUUGGAAACGACUGCUAAUACCGGAUGAUGACGUAAGUCCAAAGAUUUAUCGCCCAAGGAUGAGCCCGCGUAGGAUUAGCUAGUUGGUGAGGUAAAGGCUCACCAAGGCGACGAUCCUUAGCUGGUCUGAGAGGAUGAUCAGCCACACUGGGACUGAGACACGGCCCAGACUCCUACGGGAGGCAGCAGUGGGGAAUAUUGGACAAUGGGCGAAAGCCUGAUCCAGCAAUGCCGCGUGAGUGAUGAAGGCCUUAGGGUUGUAAAGCUCUUUUACCCGGGAUGAUAAUGACAGUACCGGGAGAAUAAGCUCCGGCUAACUCCGCG